CAAUAGCGUAUAUUAAAGUUGUUGCAGUUAAAAGCUCGUAGUUGGAUCUCUGGUAGUUGCUGGUAGUACAUCUUAACUGAUGUAUCUGCUAAGCUAUACCAUAAAUCUGUUGUUUGUUUGCUUAGUUGCAGGCAAUACAUCAGAUCUUUUACUUUGAGUAAAUUAGAGUGUUUCAAGCAAGUUACUGCUAUGAAUACUGCAGCAUGGAAUAAUAAAAUAGGACAUGGGUUCUAUCUUGUUGGUUUCUAGAGCCGAUGUAAUGAUUAAUAGGAACAGUUGGGGGCAUUCGUAUUCAACAGCUAGAGGUGAAAUUCUUAGAUUUGUUGAAGACGAACUACAGCGAAAGCAUUUGCCAAGGAUGUUUUCAUUAAUCAAGAACGAAAGUUAGGGGAUCGAAGAUGAUUAGAUACCAU
Molecule: ribosomal RNA, 413 nt
Filed under: uncultured eukaryote
Lineage: Eukaryota
Description: bacterial SSU rRNA
Rfam family: Eukaryotic small subunit ribosomal RNA
Source: RNAcentral